RNAcentral lists this long non-coding RNA (1650 nucleotides) under Homo sapiens (human). RNAcentral's name for it is "HSALNT0397931". Lineage: Eukaryota; Metazoa; Chordata; Mammalia; Primates; Hominidae. The record is from RNAcentral.
GGCAGCUGGCUGGGGUCCCUUUCCACGACGUGGCGGCUUUGUUCUUUUGCUCUUUGCAAUAAAUCUUGCUACUGGUCAUUCUUUGGGUCCACACUGCUUUUAUGAGCUGUGAUACUCACCGCGAAGGUCUGUAGCUUCACUCCUGAAGCCAGUGAGACCACGAGCCCACUGGGAGGAACAAACAACUCCAGAUGCGCCGCCUUAAGAGCUGUAACACUCACCACCAAGGUCUGCAGCUUCACUUCUGAGCCAGCGACACCACGAACCCACCAGAAGGAAAAAACUCCGAACACAUCCGAACAUCAGAAGGAACAAACUCCAGACGCGCCACCUUAAGAGCUGUAACACUCACCGCGAGGGUCCGCAGUUUCAUUCUUGAAGUCAGUGAGACCAGGAACCCACCAAUUCGGGACACAGGAGGAUCACUUGAGCCCAGGAGUUCAAGACCAGCCUGGGCCAUAUGGCGAGACCCUGUCUUUAAAAAAAAAAAAAAAACAUAGGAAACACUGAAAGGGAAUGAUGUCAGGUGAGUUGAGAACUAAUGGUAAUUCAGGGGUGGGCGUGGGUGUCUGGGCUUCCAGCCCUGUUCUGCUUCUCUUUAUAAGCCAGUGGUAUGGCCUGAAUAUUUGUGACCCUCCAAAAUUCCCCUGUUGAAACCAGAGAACCAAGGUGAUGGUAUUAGAAGGUGAUGGUGUUAGAAGGUGAUGGUGUCAUGAGGGCUCUGCCCUCGUGAAUGGGAAUAAUGCCCUUAGAAAGGGGCUCCAGAGAGCUGUCGUUUUCUUUCGCCAGGUGAAGAUACAUAGAAAGUGCCAUUUACAGGGAAUGGGUGUUCAUUAGAUCCCAAAUCUGCGGGCACCUUGAUCUUGGAUUUCCCAGUCUCCAGAACUUUUGAGACUGUUUUACUCUGUUGCCCAGGCUGGACUGCAGUGGCAUGAUCUCGGCUCACUACAACCUCCACCUCCUGGGUUCAAGCGAUUCUCCUGCCUCAGCUUCCCGAGUAGCUGGGAUACAGCUGCGUGCUACCACGCCCGGCCAAGUUUUGUUUUUUUUGAGACAGAGUCUUGCUCUGUUGUCCAGGCUAGAGUGUGGUGACGUGAUCUCGGCUCACUGCAACCUCCACCUCCCAGGUUCAAGCAAUUCUGCUUUAGCCCCCUGACUAGAUGGGAUUACAGGCACCUGCCACCAUGCCCGGCUAAUUUUUUGUAUUUUUAGUAGAGACAGGGUUUCACCAUGUUGGCCAGGCUGGUCUUGAACUCCUGACCUCAAAUGAUUAACCUGCCUUGGCCUCCCAAAGUGCUGGAAUUACAGGUGUGAGCCACUGCACCCUGUACCUCCACCACCUCCUGAGUACCUAGGACUACAGGAGCGUGCCACUACACCUGGCUAUUUUUUUAAUUUUCAAUUUUUUUUUUUUUUGUAGAGAAGGGGAUCUCACUAUGUUGCCCAGGCUGGUCUCAAACUCCUGGUCUCAAGCCCCUCAGACUUCUGCCUCGGCUUCCCAAAGUGCUGGGGUUACCGGCUGGGAUUUCAGAGCCCUGAAACAUCCUUAUAACAAUAUUAUUGACUUAUGAUUAUAAAAGUAAUUCAUGGUAGUUGUUGAACAUUUGGAAACUACGCACCAAACAAAAACAAAAAACACCCAAGUGGAAA